GGACUGUGGUUCAGUGGUAGAGUGCUCGACUUGCAUGUGUGAGGCACUGGGUUCGAUCCUCAGCACCA
RNAcentral lists this transfer RNA (68 nucleotides) under Marmota monax (woodchuck). RNAcentral describes it as "tRNA.Ala". The record is from RNAcentral. Lineage: Eukaryota; Metazoa; Chordata; Mammalia; Rodentia; Sciuridae.